CGAGCGCUCCUUCGGUGGGAGCGGCUGACGGGUUAGUAACGCGUGGGAACGUACCCAGAUCUAAGGGAUAGCCACUGGAAACGGUGAGUAAUACCUUAUACGCCCUUCGGGGGAAAGAUUUAUCGGAUUUGGAUCGGCCCGCGUUAGAUUAGAUAGUUGGUGGGGUAAUGGCCUAACAGGCUACGAUCUAUAGCUGGUUUUAGAGGAUGAUCAGCAAGCACUAGGGACUGAGACACGGCCCAGACUCCUACGGGAGGCAGCAGUGGGGAAUCUUAGACAAUGGGCGCAAGCCUGAGUCUAGCCAUGCCGCGUGAGUGAUGAAGGCCUUAGAGGUCGUAAAGCUCUUUCGCCAGGGAUGAUGAUGACAGUACCUGGUAAAGAAACCCCGGCUAACUCCGUGCCAGCAGCC
This 409-nucleotide ribosomal RNA is filed under the name uncultured bacterium. RNAcentral's name for it is "bacterial SSU rRNA". It matches the Rfam family "Bacterial small subunit ribosomal RNA", at positions 63 to 516 of the family's 1533-position model. The record is from RNAcentral.